UGAUAUCAGCGAUUCGUGUCUUAAGAUAGCC
Molecule: non-coding RNA, 31 nt
Filed under: Rattus norvegicus (Norway rat)
Lineage: Eukaryota; Metazoa; Chordata; Mammalia; Rodentia; Muridae
Source: RNAcentral